UGGCCGUGAGGGGCAGCUCAGCGCAAUCCACAAGUUGCUGCGCGAGAAAAGGCGGGAGGAGAGAGAGAGAGAGAGAGGGCGAGGGCAAUUCAGAAAAUCCAGCAGCCUCCUUCCUCAACUUCAGCAUCCUUGUUUCACGUACAGCCUUCUCAGCAUGGAUUCAAGAUGCAAGUCCGGGUUGAUCCAAAUAAUCUGACGCACAUUUAGGAUUACCAUAUGUGAUCAACAAAAUUUAGACGGCAAGGAAAAGUUUCUAUGCUGCCAUCCCAUGGCCAUAUAUGGUAACUAAGCAUGCCUAUCUGCAUAGAAUCAGGCAGAUAAUAUUGCAACCACCUCCUUACUGUAUUUCUAUCAUAAUAAUGCAAUUUUUCUCAUAAUAAUCUAACCACAUAUCAUCGCACUGGGAUUCAUCACAUUAUUCAUUCAUUGUUUGCUUUAUAAGUCUUUUUUAGAACCUAAAACAAGGUGUAUCUUGGGAACAUUGAUUCAUUGACUAGAAGGAUCAACUCAUGAUGGCAGAAAGUUGGGCUCAGUUUAUAAUGUCAUAGGUGAGCCAGGAAUAGUUAUAGGAUUCAUUUUGACCUUAAGCAUGAAUAUGUUCAGGCAACUCAUGCUCCCAGAUAGCAAUAGCACUUAGACUUAUAUACUUCCCCAUAGUGCUUUACAGCACUUUCUGGGUGGUUUACAAUAUCCGCAUGUUGCCCAUCGGGUAUUUUUGAUAAAAGAACUACAUCAUUCCAAUGCUGGAAAGGCUGAUCAAAGUGGAAGCCUCCAAAAUUUAGAGGCCACGACUUGUUUCCGAGACAAUAGUUAUAUGGUUGAAAUUUAAUAAGAUUUGAUUUUGGACCAAGAUAUAGGAGAUGUACUGUAUAGCAUAUUGUUUCAGACAAGGCUUUUAAAUUGCAAAGACCUUACUUCAUUCCUGGAAUCUUAUGGAGAACCUAUAUGAAGUUGCCUGCCAUUUCAAUCUUCUCAUGGUCUCCUACUUCUUCUGGAAGCACAUAAAAUCAGUAGGAGUAUUAGCAUUAAAAGCAUUUUCUUAGAUUGCUGGGCUCAUUCUUUAGAAAGAAACAUGAAUAUUAUCAGACGUGUUCCAGAUAGGUUGCAUGUUGCAUUUCUCUUCUAGGUGCUUGUAUUUACAAAAGCUGUAGUUUGUGCUAUAGGGGUUUUUUUUGCCUAUCCCAAGUGGCUAAAUAAGGUUUAGCUAAGGGGUAGCCCAGUGAUAAAUGGAAGAAAAUAGUCUGCCUUUCCUACCUGGAGCCCUCUAUUUGAGUUAAAUCUCACUUUCCAUUAUUUCCAGCUUUAAGGUUGGUUAAUUUAAUGUUAGUUGAGAUUACAGCAAUUUAACUCUGAUAAAUACAGAAGGCACCAAGCUGGAAAGGGUCAUUCCAUCAAGUGAGCAGGAAUAUUGCAUAUCCAUUAACUUCUAUUGACUAUUUGUUUUACAAAGAUUGGGCAUAUAUGUUCCUACAUCUGUUAAGCAACAGGCCCUACAUUAUUCUACACUGACAGAAGAUGAUAUCCCCUCCUGCCAUUAUCCUUUUCUAUGUUUUAGUUUAGCAGCAUACAGUACAUGACCAUAUUUUGGGCUCAUUCUAUUGGCAAUAUAGCUGAACACAGGCCACAGAUUAAUGCAGUGCUUCAGUAAUAUUCCUGUCAGAAUAAGCCAGACAUUUUAUCUUGGUCCAAGUCCACAGUCAUAGAAUAUCCAUACAAAAGCAACAGAAUGGCCUUGAAACAGAUUAUAUUAUAGGAAGAAAACUAACUCUAGUAGAACAAAGAUAAGCACAACAGCAGAUAUGAGUCUUAACACAGAGAGACUCGAUGGAUCAAUUGCUCAAGGCAUCUAACACUUAUUCCCCUCAUACCCCAGUUGCUGAUUAGCAAAAUGCCACAAUGAAAUACUGUUACAUAUUUUCACAGAAAUAAUGACAGGAGUGCCCUUUUGUGCUCCACCCCACCCUCCCACCCCAUGGGCAGCUCAGCAGGAUGUAGUCACUAAUCAGACACUAAAAAAUUAUAAAUAUAUCAAAUAUACAAUAAAAUAUAUCUGUACAGCACUGAGAAUGAAAAUAGUUCACUGAUCACUUUGGAAUAUGUUUCUCAUUUAACAGAAUUUACACCAACAUUUACAGAAUAAAUAUACAAUGGAAAUAGAAUCUAUAGAUUAUUGUCUUCUCUCUUUAUAUAUAUAUAUAUUAUGUACAAACAACCAAUAUACGUUCCUUUGUCUUCCCACUGCCACUAAUCAUACACCACAAACAAGAACGAAGGAAAUGCUAUGGAUCCAUUGUGGAAACACUUUACCUAGACUGGCUUCUCCUUGAGAAGCCAAUAGAGGGGCUUUGCAUGAAAUUAGCUCCAGUCAACCCAAUGGCCCUUCAAACAUGUCCCAAGGUGCACAGAGCAAAUCAAGAAUUCUGGGAAUCUCUGACAAUUUCCUUCCAUGCAAAAGAAGAAGUCUUCAGGAGAGGACAAUAUGGAGAGGAAGGGGAAACUCUGUAUUCAGCAAUUAGCUUCUUCAGUGAUUGCCUUUUCACAUUUUGCAUGAUCUCUAGACAACAGGGGCUGGGUGAUAUUUUUUUCCCCUUAAUGGAGUCCAGAGGGUGGGGGUGCGGGUGGGACUAUCAAAAGAUAAAUAAAAAGGGAAUUGAGUCUUCUAGCAGAUUUUUUUUUUAUCCCUAUUGGAUUCAUUCUUUUUUUUAUGACUCAUAAAAAAAUCAAGUGGCAUCUCCUUCACCUUAAAACAUAAUAUCUUUAUAAAAAAAGAAAGCAGUCCAUUUAAUUGCUUCCAUCACAAGCUCAUAUGAUCUCUGCUUAUAGUCUUGUCAAAGACAUACAGAGAAGUCAGAAGAGGAAUCAAAGAACAGGAAACAAAAAUCUGCUGAAACCAAUAAUUAUAACACUAUUCUGAAAAGAACCUUUGUCCUAGAACUGCCAGUGUCUAUAGUAUAAUGAAGAAAAAGUAAGAAGGCUUAAUGAAAACUACAAGGCCACCCUUGAUUGUCUUUCACAUCUUAACCAACUAAUAUCCUUAAUUUCUAAAAUAGCAGUCAUCACAAAAGAUGUUUCUAAGAGAAAGUCCACUCUGAACCUUCUUUAACUGCAGCAUUGCUUCUAAUUAAUUGAUUCCAGCAGUGACAAUUACUCUAUCUUAAUCACCUUGAAGUCAACUGUGAUUUUUUGUAGUCUGAAAAUAAACUUCACUGAUCUAUAUAAGACUUAUUUCUAGUGUCUAUAAAACUGUUUAUGCUUUGAAAAAAAAAGGAUGCAAGUGCUCGAAAUCAGACAAGUAUAGUUACUAUUAUUUUUUGAAGCAGUCCAGCUUUUCCAACUGUCUGUACAAACCUGGAGAAAGAUGCUGCUCUUUAAAUUUAUAUAGAAGCCUUAAAAAGUUAGGGAGCGGGGUUAAGAAAUAGAAUACAAGCUUUUUCUACUUUGUGGGCACUUCUUUCCAUUUUUUUUCAAAGCAUGCAAAACCUGCCUUUUUGUACAAUUGUCAUAACUACCAAUUCAGGGUAUAUGAUAGUUAAAAACAGAAACUGCCAUAAUUCUUAUCCUCCUGAUCAUUAGCUGCUUUGAAUCAGGUUGUUUCAAAUUUUUGUGUUUUAGAAUAUAGAAUUACAUAGGGAAAUGUUAACAUAGUAAUAUCUGGAUGAGUAUUUAACUCCAGUGGGUGGAGUGAAAAGUAGUCCUAUAGUCUUAAAAAUGAUUGCAAGUGCUUCUGCAUACUGUUUGAUUCAUAUUCUUAGCCUGUUGUGAUAUAUCUGCAUAAAUGACUGGAGAAAAGAGUGAAGGGAAAUUGGAAAUUGACCAACCUUGUAAUGAAAAUGGAAAAACAAUGCCAUACACUGGUACCCAUUUGUUUCUUUGAGCAAGUGGUUUACCUAAAGAAAUGCUCAAGAGAUUACAACUUCAGAUGAUGCAUUAAUGUGCCUUUUCUCUUCUGUAUAUAGGAUCUAAAUGAACAGAUUGAUUUUAAAAAAGGAAAAUAAAGAUUAACAAUUAGAAAAGACCCAUUGACAGAGUAAGCUGCUUGCUUGGGACCAACACGUGACCUGCAAAAAGAGAGACUUCAUAGCAGAUUACUGCUGGUGCUGAGGCACUAUAACCUGGUGGAUUGACUGCUAGCUGAAUUAUACUGGCCGUCAUCAAGCCAGCCAUACAGAUGGGUGAAAUAUACUUCCAUGUAUAAAAAUAGUAGCUGGAAGGCCGGAAACCCAGCAUUUCUGUUAAUUCCUGCAUGAAUCUAAAAAGGGAGAAGGAAGAAAGUGAACAGGUGAAGCACAAAUGCCAGAUUUCUGUCUUCUUAUUUCACACUGGAUGGAGAAAUCCAGAAAUCAAAAAACUUUGCUGGCAUUAGAAAUCUAAAGAAGAAUCAAGAAAUCUGAGGAUUUUGUGAUCAGCAGGAUGAAACAGACCUGAGCUAUUGUCUUUUUGUUGGAAUGGAAGACUGUGCUAUGCUACACUCUUAACAUAACAGAAAAAGAGAGCAACAUUAUUCCUUUCAGAUACAGGCAAAUGAAUACUUUGUGCUUCUCACAGAAGGAAGAAAAAAGAACUUUGACAUGCAUCAACAGGCAGAUCUGGAUACUGCACACAAAAGCUUUAUUUUAUGAACCAGUAUAGAAUGGAGUUGCAAAAAAAAACACCUAUCCAGAUGUUCAGCUGUUCUUAACACUGUGAAAUAAGAAAAGAGAAACUGCUACUAUAUAUGGCAAAAUAUUCUUCUCACUGAGCGUAUGACAUAGAAGCAAUAUUGCGUAAUAUUUUAAAACAAUAUCAGCAUUCAUCAAGAAGAGGAGAGAGUUUUCUAUUUGUUUCAGGGGAUUAACGUUCCUAAAUAUAAUAGCUAUAGAAAGUUCUUAAUUCUUCAGUUGUUCUGCUUUAAAGACUGCAUGGCUUAAAUAUUGCAUCAUACUAAGCAAAAGCUGUGCAUCCCUGCAAUGAAUGCCACAAGCACUGAGAGAACCUAAACUUUUACCAAAUUAAAUUGCGCACAUUCUAUUUCAAUUUAAUUGGGGAAAAUACUGCAAUUGAUUGUAUGUAUCAGCCCCAGGUACUAGUGAUACAGCAAGUUCAAAGACUUGUUAAUGUCUCUUAGCAACCAGCAGCCUAAAAUAGAAUGGACCUGGAUGAGAAAAUGUGAGAUCUCAAAAGGAAUGAAAUAAUCAGGUGAGGAAGCAAAAUAGCCCUUAAUAUUUUAUUGCUAAGUAUUUUUAUUCCCUUGUGAAGUCACAGAAAUCCACUGGCACGUCACUUCUGGAAGUCAUUGUCAUUUGAGCUGGUUUUCUUAAAUAUGACCAAUCAAAAUUGGUGCUAGACUUGGUGCCCCUUCUGUUUUAAUAGAUUUUUAUAUUUUUCAAUAACUGACAUAAACCUAUGAAACAGUCAAAGACUAUGCAUUUGGAGAUUUUGAUCUGAUUUCUGAAAAUUCUGUACAAAUAUGUUCAUUUUUCUGUUCAUUAUUCCAACAAUAUACCAUGUUUUUUUCCUCAUUUUAUAUACAUUCAUAUUUAUUCCAGAUUUUAUCAGAGUAUAUCAUUUUAAAAUCUCUUUUUUGCUGUGGUUGAACGUUCCUGCAGAUAUCUGCUCUUUUAAGAUGUCCCCUCUCUGAAUAUUUGAGAAGAUACCGCCUCUUCAAAAUAUUCUAAGGUUCUUUGAUAAAGUCCUUAUAUUAUUCAAAAGGAUAUAAAAUUUAGGUUUACACUUCCCUUGGUCUGAAUAUCCCACUGAAGAAUUAUCUCAAUGCACAGAGCAGAUAUAAGAUAUAAAACAACUGAUAAUAAAAAUGGUAAUUAUAUUAUUAA
Non-coding RNA from Thamnophis sirtalis, 5810 nucleotides. The record is from RefSeq and is a predicted model, not a curated record. NCBI's taxonomy places the organism in Eukaryota, Metazoa, Chordata, Lepidosauria, Squamata, Natricidae.